RNAcentral lists this ribosomal RNA (253 nucleotides) under uncultured bacterium. Its description in RNAcentral is "partial 16S ribosomal RNA". It matches the Rfam family "Bacterial small subunit ribosomal RNA", at positions 524 to 776 of the family's 1533-position model. The record is from RNAcentral.
UUCGAAGGGAGCUAGCGUUGUUCGGAAUCACUGGGCGUAAAGCGCACGUAGGCGGAUGUGUCAGUCAGAGGUGAAAUCCCGGAGCUCAACUUCGGAACUGCCUUUGAUACAGCACGUCUUGAGUCCGAUAGAGGUGGGUGGAAUUCCUAGUGUAGAGGUGAAAUUCGUAGAUAUUAGGAAGAACACCGGUGGCGAAGGCGGCCCACUGGAUCGGUACUGACGCUGAGGUGCGAAAGCGUGGGGAGCAAACAGG